This 424-nucleotide ribosomal RNA is filed under the name Verrucomicrobiota bacterium. RNAcentral describes it as "Verrucomicrobia bacterium partial 16S ribosomal RNA". It matches the Rfam family "Bacterial small subunit ribosomal RNA", at positions 355 to 776 of the family's 1533-position model. Lineage: Bacteria; Pseudomonadati; Verrucomicrobiota. The record is from RNAcentral.
UGAGGAAUAUUGGUCAAUGGGCGAGAGCCUGAACCAGCCAAGUAGCGUGCAGGAUGACGGCCCUAUGGGUUGUAAACUGCUUUUAUAUGGGAAUAAAGUGAGGGACGUGUCCCUUAUUGCAUGUACCAUAUGAAUAAGGACCGGCUAAUUCCGUGCCAGCAGCCGCGGUAAUACGGAAGGUCCAGGCGUUAUCCGGAUUUAUUGGGUUUAAAGGGAGCGUAGGCUGUUUGUUAAGCGUGUUGUGAAAUGUAAGAGCUCAACUUUUAGAUUGCAGCGCGAACUGGUCGACUUGAGUAUGCAGGAAGUAGGCGGAAUUCAUGGUGUAGCGGUGAAAUGCUUAGAUAUCAUGACGAACUCCGAUUGCGCAGGCAGCUUACUGUAGCAUAACUGACGCUGAGGCUCGAAGGUGCGGGUAUCGAACAGG